AGAGUGAACGCUGGCGGUAGGCCUAACACAUGCAAGUCGAACGGCAGCACAGUAGGAGCUUGCUCUUACGGGUGGCGAGUGGCGGACGGGUGAGGAAUACAUCGGAAUCUACCUUUUGGUGGGGGAUAACGUAGGGAAACUUACGCUAAUACCGCAUACGCCCUUCGGGGGAAAGCCGGGGACCAGCAAUGGCCUGGCGCUGAUAGAUGAGCCGAUGUCGGAUUAGCUAGUUGGUGAGGUAAUGGCUCACCAAGGCGACGAUCCGUAGCUGGUCUGAGAGGAUGAUCAGCCACACUGGAACUGAGACACGGUCCAGACUCCUACGGGAGGCAGCAGUGGGGAAUAGUUGGACAAGUGGG
This 359-nucleotide ribosomal RNA is filed under the name uncultured soil bacterium. RNAcentral's name for it is "bacterial SSU rRNA". It matches the Rfam family "Bacterial small subunit ribosomal RNA", at positions 26 to 376 of the family's 1533-position model. The record is from RNAcentral.